Molecule: ribosomal RNA, 1550 nt
Filed under: Klebsiella pneumoniae
Lineage: Bacteria; Pseudomonadati; Pseudomonadota; Gammaproteobacteria; Enterobacterales; Enterobacteriaceae
Also listed under: 2 other names
Description: bacterial SSU rRNA
Rfam family: Bacterial small subunit ribosomal RNA
Source: RNAcentral
AAAUUGAAGAGUUUGAUCAUGGCUCAGAUUGAACGCUGGCGGCAGGCCUAACACAUGCAAGUCGAGCGGUAGCACAGAGAGCUUGCUCUCGGGUGACGAGCGGCGGACGGGUGAGUAAUGUCUGGGAAACUGCCUGAUGGAGGGGGAUAACUACUGGAAACGGUAGCUAAUACCGCAUAACGUCGCAAGACCAAAGUGGGGGACCUUCGGGCCUCAUGCCAUCAGAUGUGCCCAGAUGGGAUUAGCUAGUAGGUGGGGUAACGGCUCACCUAGGCGACGAUCCCUAGCUGGUCUGAGAGGAUGACCAGCCACACUGGAACUGAGACACGGUCCAGACUCCUACGGGAGGCAGCAGUGGGGAAUAUUGCACAAUGGGCGCAAGCCUGAUGCAGCCAUGCCGCGUGUGUGAAGAAGGCCUUCGGGUUGUAAAGCACUUUCAGCGGGGAGGAAGGCGUUAAGGUUAAUAACCUUGGCGAUUGACGUUACCCGCAGAAGAAGCACCGGCUAACUCCGUGCCAGCAGCCGCGGUAAUACGGAGGGUGCAAGCGUUAAUCGGAAUUACUGGGCGUAAAGCGCACGCAGGCGGUCUGUCAAGUCGGAUGUGAAAUCCCCGGGCUCAACCUGGGAACUGCAUUCGAAACUGGCAGGCUAGAGUCUUGUAGAGGGGGGUAGAAUUCCAGGUGUAGCGGUGAAAUGCGUAGAGAUCUGGAGGAAUACCGGUGGCGAAGGCGGCCCCCUGGACAAAGACUGACGCUCAGGUGCGAAAGCGUGGGGAGCAAACAGGAUUAGAUACCCUGGUAGUCCACGCCGUAAACGAUGUCGAUUUGGAGGUUGUGCCCUUGAGGCGUGGCUUCCGGAGCUAACGCGUUAAAUCGACCGCCUGGGGAGUACGGCCGCAAGGUUAAAACUCAAAUGAAUUGACGGGGGCCCGCACAAGCGGUGGAGCAUGUGGUUUAAUUCGAUGCAACGCGAAGAACCUUACCUGGUCUUGACAUCCACAGAACUUUCCAGAGAUGGAUUGGUGCCUUCGGGAACUGUGAGACAGGUGCUGCAUGGCUGUCGUCAGCUCGUGUUGUGAAAUGUUGGGUUAAGUCCCGCAACGAGCGCAACCCUUAUCCUUUGUUGCCAGCGGUCCGGCCGGGAACUCAAAGGAGACUGCCAGUGAUAAACUGGAGGAAGGUGGGGAUGACGUCAAGUCAUCAUGGCCCUUACGACCAGGGCUACACACGUGCUACAAUGGCAUAUACAAAGAGAAGCGACCUCGCGAGAGCAAGCGGACCUCAUAAAGUAUGUCGUAGUCCGGAUUGGAGUCUGCAACUCGACUCCAUGAAGUCGGAAUCGCUAGUAAUCGUAGAUCAGAAUGCUACGGUGAAUACGUUCCCGGGCCUUGUACACACCGCCCGUCACACCAUGGGAGUGGGUUGCAAAAGAAGUAGGUAGCUUAACCUUCGGGAGGGCGCUUACCACUUUGUGAUUCAUGACUGGGGUGAAGUCGUAACAAGGUAACCGUAGGGGAACCUGCGGUUGGAUCACCUCCUUACCUUAAAGAA